UCAUCAGAAGACCUAUGGUUACUUCUGAUACAACACUUAUUCUCUGAAAACAAAGUAGAGACAAUUUGGUAGCUUGCCCUCAUCAUUCAGGUUUCCAUGAAGACAAGGGAGGAGUUUCAGAUUCAUGGUACGUAGCGAUAGUUCCACCGUAUCUGUCUCCCUUCACAGCAUCCGCUGAAGCAAUAGAUUCUAGCUCAGUCAUCUCUUCAGGUGUUAAUUUUACGGACAAAGCUCCAAUGUUCUGGUUGAAGUUUUCAGUUUUGGUGGUUCCAGGAAUGGGACAGACAUCAUUCCCUUGGUGAUGAACCCAUGCCAAUGCAAGCUGUGAUGGGGUGCACCCCUUCUUUGCUGCUAUCUCAUUAACUCGCUCAUAAAGACGUCUGUUGUGCUCAAGAUUUUCAGGUUGGAACCUCGGUAGAUACUGUGACAAUUGAAAAUCCAUUCACAUGAUUGUUAUGAAAAAUAAAGAUGAUCUGCAGCAGACCAUUACUUUCUGCAAAUAAUACAGAUUUAGGAUUCAAGGCAUUUCAAAAAGUGUUUGACAAUUCAUGCCAUCAAUGGUUGUCAAAAUGGACCUCAUUUAAUUGCCCAAAUACAGAAAAGAUCUCAUAUCCUCAGAUUUGAUUUAAAUAGAAGGCUAAAUGCCUAUUUCAGAAAGAUUUAAAUGGGGUACUAAUUUUGUAACAAACAAUUAACCAUGCAGUUCCUUAAAAGUAUAUUCAUGUACUCCAGAGUUCAGUCAUUAACUUCAAUUGUUAAAAUUAAGACUAAUGUAACCUGGAGCUUAGUUAAGUUGGUUCAUGCAACUGCCCUUAAGAGUAACAUCCAGCAGGUUUAGGAUUCAAAUUUCAGUGUCUGCAACCUCUUUCCCUAUCCCCAGGCUGCGGCCUCCUUUAUACUAAAAAAAGAUAGGACUAAUGCUCGUUACCUAAUUUAUACAUCACUUGGUUCAUUUGAUACAGAAUUCUCAAAUACAAGUAACAGAUGUCUCAUCUGUGACUCUGAUCUCAACUGAAGCAAACAAAUCUCCACUACAAACUUCCCUGAAGUUUUUCAUUAAAAGAUGCAUUAGAUGAUUGUAAACCGCUGCUAAGUGAGAAGUAACGGAUAUUAAUCAAUGGCUCACAAGAGACACUUGCAGUCUGGCAAAACUCAAUGGGAAGGACAUAAAGGUAUAAGUCAGCCUCUGUUAUUAAAGGUGAUUUGAAGCUUAACAUGCCUGCAUACUAUUUCACUUGAAAGUUGCGUGAUGCAUAUGACUUCACUAUAUAAUGGUAGUGGAUAUGACACAAUAGGGAAAAAGAUUAUGAACAUUUUCAAACUUCAAUUCUUAACCAGUCCACCCUUACUGUACUGCACAGUUGGAUAAUAUACACUUAGACAGUAAACACUAACAUUUAACUAAAACCAAUUCACAUGAGACUCACACUAAAUUGGAAAGAACAAGAUUGCUAGCAUUGAGGCACUUAAGAGACUAAAAUUGGGUGGUUUUCAUUACAGAGUAAGCUAACAAAGAGGAAAAUGUUGCAGAACAACUUAAGCAUAAAAAUUAUUUGGCUCUCAUAUGUAAAUACUCUUGUCUUGUCAGCAACCUCCGAUGCUGACUUAGGCUAGAGUUGAAAAUCUAGAAUACCCUAAUUUUUUUUUAAUAUUUUAGACCAUCAGGCACACGGCUACUGGAACUAAGAGUAAGCACUCUACCAAUAGGCACCCAGCUGUUGGCUAAUACCAUUAAAUUUAAUAUGCCUAAAAUAACAGAUAAUCAUGGCUUAUGAACAAGUAUCCAAAUGUGAAAAGUAGCUACAAACCUUUCUGAAGUCAUCAUUGGAAAAAGUUUCCACUAUUUUAGGCCCUGAUGAAAAGAAUCCUCUCCCCAGAGGGCUGUAAGCGACAAUCCCAAUCCCAAGUUCCCUAAGAAAUUAAAAGGAAUCACAUCAAAUAAGAAUUCCAAAUCAGAAAUUUUCAAAAAAAAAAAGAAAUUUGUUGGUCUUAUGGAUAAAUAACCUGCAAGUCGGAAUGAUGUCUGCCUCAACAUCUCUAGACCACAAGGACCACUCCAAUUGUACAGCAGUAAUUGGAUGAACAGCAUGUGCCCUUCUAAUUGUCGAAGCAGAAGCCUCAGAUAAACCUAUAUACUUUACUUUACCUUCUUCAACUAGUUUCUUAAGUUCUCCCAUCUGGGUGAAAAGAAAAAAAAAAGCAACAAUCAAUAAAAGAAUAAGAAGAAAAAAGCAAGGGGACAAAAGUCAAAACAAAAAACAAACCGUGACUUCAAUGGGAACCCUGGUAUCAAUCCGAUGCUGGUAAUAAAGAUCGAUACAAUCAACACCAAGACGCUUCAAGCUACCUUCACAGGCCGCUCUGACAUAAGCAGGGUCACCACGGAUUUCCCUCUUGCCAUCAGUAUAGUCUAUACCAAACUUAGUAGCCAAUUCAACCCUGUCUCUUACACCAUCUUUCAAGGCCUUACCAAUAAGGAUUUCAUUGGUAUGGGGACCAUAAACAUCAGAAGUAUCAAGAAAGGUAACCCCGGAGUUGAUAGCAUGGUGGAUUAGAGCAAUCAUGUCAGCUUCGGGCUUUGGAGGACCAUAGAAAGCUGACAUCCCCAUGCAUCCAAGGCCUUGAGCUGACACUUCCAGGCCCUGAGAACCCAACUUGAUCCUCCCAACUUUUUCAGUUGCCAUGUUUCACUGAUGGUUGAGUGUGAAGCGAUUAGCUAUCUGGAUUUUUGGUGUUGAGGAUGGAGGUUUCACCGUUUCAGCACUGUUAAAUAGUGGCUGGGGAAAGGGCAUGACGUAAGGGCAUAUGUUAAUACAGAUUAAUGAUUGCGUAUAUUAUUGUAAUAUUCAAGAAAAUUAUAAACAAAGUCAAAUAAGACCUUACAACUUAGUAGUUAAAGUUUUUUUUUUUUUUUUUUAAUUCUUUGCUACAUUUAUGAAUUUUAUAAGAAAACUUAAGUAAUUUAUGAAUGUUAUAAAAAGUUUUUGAAAAUUUCUUUGUACAUAAGUAAAUUAUGUAAAAAGCUUUUACAUAAGAUGUCAACAACUCAACAUCACCAUUUUUUUCUCUUUUCUUAAAAAGUAAAAAUUAUGGUAAACUAAAUAUUUGUUUAUCAAAAGAACACCAAAUAUUAAUAGAGAGGUCAUUAACAUUGCACUAAAUUUGAAUCCGAGAUUUAGUUCGACUAAUUUAUAUAUUUAUAUUUAGAAAGUAAAAUUUAAUAAGUCUAAAUUAUUGACAAAAAAUUAAAAUUCAAAUUUUAACACAAUUUUUUUCUCAAUCUCCAUAAUAUGACUUUUUAUGUAAAAUAAAAUUAUACUUAAUCUCAAAAUUAAUUAGUUCACCUGUCAAGGAAAAAUCAAAUUAAAAAACAUUACUAAUUAAUUAUGACUAAUAGAAAUUAUAAUUUCUUGAACAUUAUUAAUUUCUUAUCACACCCAUCAUUUAUGUUAAAUGAAAAAAAUCAUAAUUAUUUUUAUAACUAUAAAAUAACAAGUGGUGCUUAAAUGAAUUUUAUAAUAAAAUAUUUAGAAGCAAUAAAUACCAUUAAAAGGACAUUAGGAUUGCAUCUAACAUUUGAUUUUUCUUUUGGCCAAAACCUAACAUUGGUUUUAUAAAGUUAUCUUGAAAUUUUCUUUCAAAAUUGGAAUCUUAAAAAUUCAUAAUAUAAAUUUUCGAAAGAACGAAGUGCGGCACUCACUUUUUUUUUUUUUGGCAUUUUCUUUGUUUUUUUUUUUUAUUUAUAGGUUUUUUUUUCUUUUACCUGUUUUAAUUUAUUGACUUUCGCAUGUGAAAAAAGUAAAGAAAGUAAAAAUUGAUGGGACAAUGAUUGAUGAAGAGUUGGUGAAAGUUGGUAAAGAGUAAAGAUUAACAAAGAGAGUUAAAAGUAAAAAAGCAAGGAAAAAAUUGAGGUACCCUCCUUUGUAUCAUUUCUUUUCUUUUUUAAUCCUUAUUUAAUUGUUUUUUAUUUAAUUGUUAUUGUUUAUUUUUUAUGAUUAAAUAUAAAAAAUUAUUUAAUUAUAUAUUUUUCUAUCAAUUUGAUAUAAAAUAAAAUAAAAUUAUUAAUUUGACACCUAAACUUUCAUUCUAUUAUCACUUUAAAACAUUAGACUAAUAUCAUUAGUCCAUUUAUUGAUUGUUAAUACUUAAUUUUUUUUAGCAAAUUCUAGUCAAAUAUGAAGCGUUUAAAAUUCAAUCUAAUUUAAAUCUAAUAUUUCUUUAAUAUUGAUAAAUUAUCAAAACUAAAUUAUGGAUCAAAUUGACUUGAAUAUCCUUUAGUCAAAUCUAGUCAAUAAUAAUCAAACUCGAUCAAAUUAGGAUUAAUCUUUGGAACUCAUAACCAAAUAGGAUUUUUAAAACUUGAGAUUAAUAAUUUAUGAUUUUGAUGCACUAAAAAUCAUGAUUAUAACUCGAAAUGUGUAAAAUUAUCAAAAUAUUUUUUAGAGGUAUUUUUAUAAUUUGAUCUUUUUUAGAUUAUGUUUUGGUAUUAUUUAAUAAUUUUUUACAUUAAAAACCUUAAUCGCACCUCAUAAAAUAUGAAAUUAUCAAAAUAUCAUUUAGGAGUAUUUUUACAAAAAGUUUUAGAUCAUAUUUUAAUAUUAUUUUAUGAUUUUUGAUAUAUUAAAACCCUUAUCGCAUCUUAAAGUGUAAAACUAUCAAAAUGUCCUCUAAAAAUAUUUUCAUAAUUUGACUUUUCGAGAUUGGUAUUUCGUAAAAAACUUCAAAUCAUGUUUUGAUAUUAUUUCAUGACUUUUGAUAUAUUAAAAACUUUGAUUGCACUUCUAAAUGUGUGAAAUUAUCAAAAUAUUUUUUAAGCGUAUUUUUAUAAUUUAACUUUUUUCCAAGUUGAUUUUUCGCAAAAAUGCUUCAAAUCAAAAUUUGAUAUUAUUUCAGGGUGUUGCACUAAGAAACAUGUUUCCUGCAUGUGUAAAUUCCGCUCUAAGGACCGUUCCUGAUGCAUCUGAGAUUGUCCAAUUUUUUUCUGCAAAGUUCCUCGUCCAAUUCAAGGUGUAAGCUAGACUUGUGAUUUACAAGCUAGGAUUUCCAGCAAAUGCUUGCAUUCAACCAAUCUUGAUGAGUAACAAAUCAAGAAAACAUGUGGGAAAAGAGCCACGUGGCAUGGUCACAAUUGCCUAGUUUAGAUGUUUGUUGAUGCCAUAGCCGAAGGAACCGGUGGCCAAUUUUGGACAGACUUAUGAAUCAAAAUGAGAAGCAGGACUGGUCACUUACAGUACUGGUGUUUGGGAUUAAUUAACAUCUAGCAAGGCUGCGUUUGGAAAGUCUUAUCUGGAUCUACAAAGAAAUUCCCUUCCUUUGAUCCUUUCACAGGGGGGUUGUAUUGUUUACGGGCCAAAGUAUAUAGAUGGGCCUAUGAAGUGUAAGGUCAGUAGUUGAGUCCAGUCCAAUAAUUAGGAUUAUUUCAAAUAUUAGUUAAAAUCAGUGAAUGUGCGAUUAGUUAUAUCACAACUAGAUUAGUUAAAAAGCUGAUGUCAAUUGCUGAUGUUCAUGGUCUGUUAAAGGUUUUUAGAAGGGAGGAGACGAUUGGUUGUAGGCAUUCUGAAAAUUCAUACAACAUAAUACAAUAUUUCUCUCUAUACUUUCUCUUUUCUUCUUCUUCCAUUUACUCUUCUCUGAUUCAAGGCUGGGUAGAUUUCUUCAUCAACUUAAUGUCUUCAUUCUCAGUUGGCCCCAUACCAGCUUUCAAAUUUCCCAAUGUUUAAGCAGACUUUUGAUGAUAGAAAGUCAGGAAGUCAAACGAAUUUAAAAGAGAAGAAAGCAUGAGAGAUAGUUAAAUCAUUGAAAUAUUGGAGCAAGAUUUUGCCUUUUUUUUUUUUCGUUUGGUCAAAGGAAUCAUGCAGUGCACAAAAAACCUAAUGUUGGGAAAUCUGAAAUCAUGCAUUGAUAGCUUAUUUCAGAACCUUUUGCUUCAUUACCAUGGGAAUACACAAUCUCAACAUGACAAACCUGGAUAGCUACUACCAAGUUUGCAAUCUCUCAUCAGAAGACCUAUGGAUACUUCUGAUACAACACUUAUUCUCUUGAAACAAAGUAGAGACAAUUGUAGCUUGCCCUCAUCAUUCAGGUUUCCAUGAAGACAAGGGAGGAGUUUCAGAUUCAUGGUACGUAGCGAUAGUUCCACCGUAUCUAUCUCCCUUCACAGCAUCUGCUGAAGCAAUAGAUUCUAGCUCAGUCAUCUCUUCAGGUGUUAAUUUUACGGACAAAGCUCCGAUGUUGUGGCUGAAGUUUUCAGUUUUGGUGGUUCCAGGAAUGGGACAGGACAUCAUUCCCUUGGUGAUGAACCCAUGCCAAUGCAAGCUGCGAUGGGGUGCACCCCUUCUUUGCUGCUAUCUCAUUAACUCGCUCAUAAAGACGGUCUGUUGUGCUCAAGAUUUUCAGGUUGGAACCUCGGUAGAUACUGUGACAAUUGAAAAUCCAUUCACAUGAUUGUCAUGAAAAAUAAAGAUGAUCUGCAGCAGACCAUUACUUUCUGCAAAUAAUACAGAUUUAGGAUUCAAGGCAUUUCAAAAAGUGUUUGACAAUUCAUGCCAUCAAUGGUUGUCAAAAUGGACCUCAUUUAAUUGCCCAAAUACAGAAAAGAUCUCAUAUCCUCAGAUUUGAUUUAAAUAGAAGGCUAAAUGCC
This 6640-nucleotide long non-coding RNA is filed under the name Durio zibethinus. RNAcentral's name for it is "long non-coding RNA (DZIB_LNC001941)". The record is from RNAcentral. Lineage: Eukaryota; Viridiplantae; Streptophyta; Magnoliopsida; Malvales; Malvaceae.